Molecule: ribosomal RNA, 497 nt
Filed under: uncultured bacterium
Lineage: Bacteria
Description: partial 16S ribosomal RNA
Rfam family: Bacterial small subunit ribosomal RNA
Source: RNAcentral
GAUGAACGCUGGCGGCGUGCCUAAUACAUGCAAGUCGAGCGAACAGACGAGGAGCUUGCUCCUCUGACGUUAGCGGCGGACGGGUGAGUAACACGUGGAUAACCUACCUAUAAGACUGGGAUAACUUCGGGAAACCGGAGCUAAUACCGGAUAAUAUAUUGAGCCGCAUGGUUCAAUAGUGAAAGACGGUUUUGCUGUCACUUAUAGAUGGAUCCGCGCCGCAUUAGCUAGUUGGUAAGGUAACGGCUUACCAAGGCAACGAUGCGUAGCCGACCUGAGAGGGUGAUCGGCCGCACUGGAACUGAGACACGGUCCAGACUCCUACGGGAGGCAGCAGUAGGGAAUCUUCCGCAAUGGGCGAAAGCUUGACGGAGCAACGCCGCGUGAGUGAUGAAGGUCUUCGGAUCGUAAAACUCUGUUAUUAGGGAAGAACAAAUGUGUAAGUAACUAUGCACGUCUUGACGCUACCUAAUCAGAAAGCCACGGCUAACUACGUG